UGGGGAAUUUUGGACAAUGGGCGAAAGCCUGAUCCAGCAAUGCCGCGUGUGUGAAGAAGGCCUUCGGGUUGUAAAGCACUUUUGUCCGGAAAGAAAUCCUUGGCUCUAAUACAGUCGGGGGAUGACGGUACCGGAAGAAUAAGCACCGGCUAACUACGUGCCAGCAGCCGCGGUAAUACGUAGGGUGCAAGCGUUAAUCGGAAUUACUGGGCGUAAAGCGUGCGCAGGCGGUUUGCUAAGACCGAUGUGAAAUCCCCGGGCUCAACCUGGGAACUGCAUUGGUGACUGGCAGGCUAGAGUAUGGCAGAGGGGGGUAGAAUUCCACGUGUAGCAGUGAAAUGCGUAGAGAUGUGGAGGAAUACCGAUGGCGAAGGCAGCCCCCUGGGCCAAUACUGACGCUCAUGCACGAAAGCGUGGGGAGCAAACAGGAUUAGAUACCCUGGUAGUCCACGCCCUAAACGAUGUCAACUAGUUGUUGGGGAUUCAUUUCCUAGUAACGUAGCUAACGCGUGAAGUUGACCGCCU
This 525-nucleotide ribosomal RNA is filed under the name uncultured bacterium. RNAcentral describes it as "partial 16S ribosomal RNA". It matches the Rfam family "Bacterial small subunit ribosomal RNA", at positions 355 to 874 of the family's 1533-position model. The record is from RNAcentral.